RNAcentral lists this ribosomal RNA (603 nucleotides) under uncultured fungus. RNAcentral describes it as "eukaryotic LSU rRNA". It matches the Rfam family "Eukaryotic large subunit ribosomal RNA", at positions 23 to 641 of the family's 3401-position model. The record is from RNAcentral. Lineage: Eukaryota; Fungi.
ACCCGCUGAACUUAAGCAUAUCAAUAAGCGGAGGAAAAGAAACCAACAGGGAUUGCCCUAGUAACGGCGAGUGAAGCGGCAACAGCUCAAAUUUGAAAUCUGGCGUCUUUGGCGUCCGAGUUGUAAUUUGCAGAGGGCGCUUUGGCAUUGGCAGCGGUCCAAGUUCCUUGGAACAGGACGUCACAGAGGGUGAGAAUCCCGUACGUGGUCGCUAGCCUUUACCGUGUAAAGCCCCUUCGACGAGUCGAGUUGUUUGGGAAUGCAGCUCUAAAUGGGAGGUAAAUUUCUUCUAAAGCUAAAUACUGGCCAGAGACCGAUAGCGCACAAGUAGAGUGAUCGAAAGAUGAAAAGCACUUUGGAAAGAGAGUUAAAAAGCACGUGAAAUUGUUGAAAGGGAAGCGCUUGCAGCCAGACUUGCCUGUAGUUGCUCAUCCGGGUUUUUACCCGGUGCACUCUUUUAUAGGCAGGCCAGCAUCAGUUUGGGCGGUUGGAUAAAGGUCUCUGUCAUGUACCUCUCUUCGGGGAGAACUUAUAGGGGAGACGACAUGCAACCAGCCCGGACUGAGGUCCGCGCAUCUGCUAGGAUGCUGGCGUAAUGGCUGU